GAACCAUGCUCAGGACAUUUCCACAGGAGAACCUUGAACCUAUCCCAUUUCUCAAAAAAAGACUACAAUUCCACUUGCACAAAAAGGAUAUGUCAUUCCUGAGCUU
Molecule: small nucleolar RNA, 106 nt
Organism: Dioscorea cayenensis subsp. rotundata (Guinea yam)
Lineage: Eukaryota; Viridiplantae; Streptophyta; Magnoliopsida; Dioscoreales; Dioscoreaceae
Source: RefSeq, a predicted model, not a curated record